Molecule: non-coding RNA, 73 nt
Organism: Haloferax sp.
Lineage: Archaea; Methanobacteriati; Methanobacteriota; Halobacteria; Halobacteriales; Haloferacaceae
Source: Rfam
AGUCCCAUGGUGUAGUGGCCAAUCAUAGCGGCCUUUGGAGCCGUUGACGGCGGUUCGAAUCCGCCUGGGACUA